GAUUUCUGGUUUGACGUACCUGUCCCGCGGCGGUAACGCUUGUGAGUGACGGAGUGGGUCUGCCUUCCUUCUAGAGAACACGGCUAUCCUUUACUGGACUGGUCGUGUCAUCUAGAUCUUUUACUUUGAAAAAAUUAGAGUGUUUCAAGCAGGCGUUUUGCUAUGAAUACAUUAGCAUGGAAUAAUGAGUUAGGACUUCGGUUCUAUUUUGUUGGUUUCUAGGACUGAAGUAAUGAUUGAUAGGGAUAGUUGGGGGUGCUAGUAUUCAGCGGCCAGAGGUGAAAUUCUUGGAUUCGCUGAAGACUAACUUAUGCGAAAGCAUU
This 323-nucleotide ribosomal RNA is filed under the name uncultured Flectomonas. Its description in RNAcentral is "bacterial SSU rRNA". The stretch from base 103 to 323 matches the Rfam family "Eukaryotic small subunit ribosomal RNA", at positions 734 to 955 of the family's 1831-position model. The record is from RNAcentral. Lineage: Eukaryota; Cercozoa; Glissomonadida.